UUGGGCGUAAGCGCGCGCAGGCGGUUUCUUAAGUCUGAUGUGAAAGCCCACGGCUCAACCGUGGAGGGUCAUUGGAAACUGGGGAACUUGAGUGCAGAAGAGAAAAGCGGAAUUCCACGUGUAGCGGUGAAAUGCGUAGAGAUGUGGAGGAACACCAGUGGCGAAGGCGGCUUUUUGGUCUGUAACUGACGCUGAGGCGCGAAAGCGUGGGGAGCAAACAGGAUUAGAUACCCUGGUAGUCCACGCCGUAAACGAUGAGUGCUAAGUGUUAGAGGGUUUCCGCCCUUUACUGCUGCAGCUAACGCAUUAAGCACUCCGCCUGGGGAGUACGGUCGCAAGACUGAAACUCAAAGGAAUUGACGGGGGCCCCCCCACCCGGUGGAGCAUGUGGUU
RNAcentral lists this ribosomal RNA (393 nucleotides) under Priestia flexa. RNAcentral's name for it is "bacterial SSU rRNA". It matches the Rfam family "Bacterial small subunit ribosomal RNA", at positions 554 to 946 of the family's 1533-position model. The record is from RNAcentral. Lineage: Bacteria; Bacillati; Bacillota; Bacilli; Caryophanales; Bacillaceae.